This is a long non-coding RNA of Carassius gibelio (silver crucian carp), 4116 nucleotides long. RefSeq lists it as uncharacterized. The record is from RefSeq and is a predicted model, not a curated record. NCBI's taxonomy places the organism in Eukaryota, Metazoa, Chordata, Actinopteri, Cypriniformes, Cyprinidae. The transcript is spliced from 4 exons.
UGGUGCAAAUAUGUCAAAGCGUUGCAGAGAUACAGCCUCAAAUGCAUUUUGGCACCUUUCCAGCAAAUUCGUUGAUGCGUUAAAUGACAACCGUUUCGUAUAUCGACACGAAAUCCAUAACUUUUUGCCAGCAUGGUCUGACGAUGAUUCACGUCAAAUUUGGUGAAAAUCGGACUAACGGUCUAGGAGGAGUUCGAAAAAGUAGGUUUUCAACAUUAAGCAAAAUGGCGGACAGGAAGUAAAGCCAAUUUUCACAUUAUUGGUAUCAAUGCUCUCGGCAUGACCCACAGAAUAAAGCGAGACCAUUUUAAUUUUAAUAGUCUAAUUUAUUCAAAAGUUAUUAGCAUUUAUGUGAUAUUUCAUUAUAACUAUUGGCCACAAGGUGGCGCUGCCACCAAACUUUUUGAGUACCUUCAGGGCAUGGAGCCGAAUAUUUUUGUAAUUAUUUGCGAAACGAUACGAUGCUGCGUUCAAAAAAUACAGCAUUUUGAAACAUAAUUCAAAAUGGCCGACGCCUAAAAUGGCCGACACAGGAAAAUUGGAUAUCAUUCGACUCGACAUGACUCACUGAAUCUAAAGAGACCAGUUGUGUGAUUUUUGGCCAAACCAUUCAGUAGUUAUAAGCCAAAAUAUGCAUUUUUCAUAUCUCCUGACCACUAGGUGGCGCUGUGUCGAAACACAGCAGGUAGUCUCAGUUCAUGCUUGUUAUAACACACGCCAAGUUUGGUCUCAAUAUGACAAACCGUUGCCGGGAUAUAGCCUCACGUGCAUGUUUGCGUGCUUUUCGUCAAAUUUGUUUACGUGUCAUUCGACAACGGUUGGACGAAUCAACUUGAAUUCCAUAACUUUUUGCCAGCAUGGUCUGAAGAUGAUCUGAGCCAAUUUUCGUGGCAAUCGGACUAACCGUCUAGGACGAGUUCGAAAAAGUAGGUUUUUCGAAUAAUUGAAAAUAGCGAAAAAACUAAACCUUGCGAUUUUUGAAUUUUGGGGUUCAUUCGACUUGGCCUGAGCCAAGGAUUCAGAGGAAAAAAGAAUUUCCAUUUUCUGGCUUACGGUUCAAAAGUUAUUAGCAUACAAACAUUGAAAGUUUGGACAAGUGGUGGCGCUAGAGAGUAGGAGUUAGAGGCUUCAAAUUUGCUAUAGUUAAUGUUGGGACUGUCCUCUAUCAGUGUGCCAAAUUAUACAACUUUCCCGCAAACGGUUCUAUGGGCUGCCAUAGACUUGCGGCGGAAGAAGAAGAAGAAGAAGAAUAAAUAUAGCUGCAAGCAGCAAUUACGGGGCCAAGCACUCCAACGGCAAAUGUAGGAGCUAAGCAUCGCAUGAAGCAUCACACCAAAUUCAUUAAUGAGCAAUAACAGCAAUUUUGGAAUUAUUGUAAUUGAAAUGGCAAAAAAAAAUCAUAAUACCACCUCUAGUAGCAUGAUUACUUGGCUUAUCAAGCUUGACCAAUAGGUGGCACUGUUAUAAAAUCAAUUUGGUGUACUCUGUGUGACUUUUCAAUGACACACACAAAGUUUGGUGUCAAUAUGCCAAAGCAUUCCAGGGAUACAGCCUCAAGUGUCAUUUUCUCAUUGUGCCUCAAAUUCGUCGAUGUGGUAUGCGAAAACGGUUUUGUCUAUCGACUCAAAAGCCAUAACUUUGAGUCAGCAUAGUCUGAAGAUCAUUUGAUUCGAAUUUGGUGAAAAUCGGACCUACGGUUGAUGAGGAGUUCGACAAAGUAGGUUUUCAACAUAAAUCAAAAUGGCGGACCGGAAGUUCAGCUUACUAUGGUAUAUUUGGUAUCUAUGUUAUCGGCAUAAACCAGGGAAUAUUUUGAGCCCAGUUCCAUUCGAAUGGGCUAAUGCAAUAAAAAGUUAUUAGCAUUUUUACAAGUGUAAUUAUUCAUGGUUAAUGAAUGGUUUAUUACUCUUGACCAAUAGGUGGCGCUGUUACCAAAUUUAUGUGGCAUGGUCAGUGUGAGGUGGCGAUGACACAUACAAAGUUUGGUGCAAAUAUGUCAAAGUGUUGCAGAGAUACAGCCUCAAAUGCAUUUUGGCACCCUUCCAGCAAAUUUGUUGAUGCGCUAAAUGAGAACCGUUACGUAUAUCGACACAAAAUCCAUAACUUUUUGCCAGCAUGGUCUGAAGAUGAUGCACGUCAAAUUUGGUGAAAAUUGGGCUAACGGUCUAGGAGGAGUUCGAAAAAGUAGGUUUUCAACAUUAAGCAAAAUGGCGGACAGGAAGUAAGGCCAAUUUUCACAUUAUUGGUAUCAAUACUCUCGGCAUGACCCACAGAAUAUAGCGAGACCAUUUUAAUUUUAAUAGACUAAUUUAUUCAAAAGUUAUUAGCAUUUAUGUGAUAUUUCAUUAUAACUAUUGGCCACAAGGUGGCGCUGCCACCAAACUUUUUGAGUACCUUCAGGGCAUGGAGCCGAAUAUUUUUGUAAUUAUUUGCGAAACGAUACGAUGCUGCGUUCAAAAAAUACAGCAUUUUAAAUCAUAAUUCAAAAUGGCCGACGCCUAAAAUGGCCGACACAGGAAAAUUGGAUAUCAUUUGACUCGACAUGACUCACUGAAUCUAAAGAGACCAGUUGUGUGAUUUUUGGCCAAACCAUUCAGUAGUUAUAAGCCAAAAUAUGCAUUUUUCAUAUCUCCUGACCACUAGGUGGCGCUGUGUCGAAACACUGCAGGUAGUCUCAGUUCAUGCUUGUUAAAACACACACCAAGUUUGGUCUCAAUAUGACAAACUGUUGCCGAGAUAUAGCCUCACGUGCAUUUUUGCGUGCAUUUCGUCAAAUUAGUUUACGUGUCAUUCGACAACGGUUGGACGAAUCAACUUGAAUUCCAUAACUUUUUGCCGGCCUGGUCUGAAGAUGAUCUGAGACAAUUUUCGUGGCAAUCAGACUAACCGUCUAAGACGAGUUUGAAAAAGUAGGUUUGUCGAAUAAUUGAAAAUAGCGAAAAAACUAAACCUUGCGAUUUUUGAAUUUUGGGGUUCAUUCGACUUGGCAUGAGCCAAGGAUUCAGAAGAAAAAAGAAUUUUCAUUUUCUGGCUUACGGUUCAAAAGUUAUUAGCAUAGAAACAUUGAAAGUUUGGACAAGUGGUGGCGCUAGAGAGUUGGAGUUAGAGACUUCAAAUUUGCUAUAGUUAAUGCUGGGACUGUCCUCUAUCAGUGUGCCAAAUUAUACAACUUUCCCGCAAUCGGUUCUAUGGGCUGCCAUAGACUUGCGGCGGAAGAAGAAGAAGAAGAAGAAGCAGAAUAAUAAUAAUAACGCCAACGGAAACAAUAGGUGCCUACGCACCUUCGGUGCUUGGCCCCUAAUAAAUAUAGCUGCAAGCAGCAAUUACGGGGCCAAGCACUCCAACGGCAAAUGUAGGAGCUAAGCAUGGCAUGAAGCAUCACACCAAAUACAUUAAUGAGCAAUAACAGUAAUUUUGGAAUUAUUGUAAUUGAAAUGGCAAAAAAAAAAUCAUAAUACCACCUCUAGUAGCAUGAUUACUUGGCUUAUAAAGUUUGACCAAUAGGUGGCACUGUUAUGAAAUCAAUUUGGUGUACUCUGUUUGACUUUUCAAUGACACACACAAAGUUUGGUGUUAAUAUGCCACAGCAUUCCAGAGAUGCAGCCUCAAGUGUCAUUUUGUCAUUGUGUUUCAACUUCGUCGCUUUGGUAUGCGAAAACGGUUUUGUCUAUCGACACAAAAUCCAUAACUUUGUGUCAACAUAGUCUGAAGAUCAUCUGAUUCGAAUUUGGUGAAAAUUGGACAUACGGUUCAUGAGGAGUUCGAAAAAGUAGGUUUUCCACAUAAAUCAAAAUGGUGGACCGGAACUUCAGUAAACACUGGCAUAUUUGGUAUCUAUGUUAUCGGCAUAAGCCAGGGAAUAUUUUGAGCCCAGUUUCUUUGCAAUAGGCUAAUGGACUAAAAAGUUAUUAGCAUUUUAAAAAGUGUAAUUACUCAUGGUUAAUGAAUGGUUUAUUACUCUUGACCAAUAGGUGGCGCUGUUACCAAAUUUAUGUGGCAUGGUCAGUGUGAGGUGGCGAUGACACAUACAAAGUUUGGUGCAAAUAUGUCAAAGUGUUGCAGAGAUACAGCCUCAAAUGCAUUUUGGCACCCUUCCAGCAAAUUCGUUGAUGCGCU